CAGCUUAGGACACUAAAAACCCUCUAGUUAU
RNAcentral lists this non-coding RNA (31 nucleotides) under Rattus norvegicus (Norway rat). Lineage: Eukaryota; Metazoa; Chordata; Mammalia; Rodentia; Muridae. The record is from RNAcentral.